Molecule: non-coding RNA, 68 nt
Organism: Cordylochernes scorpioides
Lineage: Eukaryota; Metazoa; Arthropoda; Arachnida; Pseudoscorpiones; Chernetidae
Source: the annotation of a GenBank genome assembly
GGGUAGCCUAGUGGACAUGGCAUCUGCCCGGUAAGCGGAACACUGUGGGUUCGUUUCCCAUUUUUCCG